RNAcentral lists this ribosomal RNA (490 nucleotides) under uncultured bacterium. Its description in RNAcentral is "partial 16S ribosomal RNA". It matches the Rfam family "Bacterial small subunit ribosomal RNA", at positions 30 to 507 of the family's 1533-position model. The record is from RNAcentral.
AUUGAACGCUGGCGGCAGGCCUAACACAUGCAAGUCGAACGGUAACAGGAAGAAGCUUGCUUCUUUGCUGACGAGUGGCGGACGGGUGAGUAAUGUCUGGGAAACUGCCUGAUGGAGGGGGAUAACUACUGGAAACGGUAGCUAAUACCGCAUAACGUCGCAAGACCAAAGAGGGGGACCUUCGGGCCUCUUGCCAUCGGAUGUGCCCAGAUGGGAUUAGCUAGUAGAUGGGGUAACGGCUCACCUAGGCGACGAUCCCUAGCUGGUCUGAGAGGAUGACCAGCCACACUGGAACUGAGACACGGUCCAGACUCCUACGGGAGGCAGCAGUGGGGAAUAUUGCACAAUGGGCGCAAGCCUGAUGCAGCCAUGCCGCGUGUAUGAAGAAGGCCUUCGGGUUGUAAAGUACUUUCAGCGGGGAGGAAGGGAGUAAAGUUAAUACCUUUGCUCAUUGACGUUACCCGCAGAAGAAGCACCGGCUAACUCCGUG